UAGAGUUUGAUCCUGGCUCAGGACGAACGCUGGCGGCGUGCUUAACACAUGCAAGUCGAACGGAACACCCUUGACAGAGGUUUCGGCCAAUGAAGAGGAAUGUUUAGUGGCGGACUGGUGAGUAACGCGUGAGGAACCUGCCUUUCAGAGGGGGACAACAGUUGGAAACGACUGCUAAUACCGCAUGAAGCAGCGAGGGGACAUCCCCUUGCUGUCAAAGAUUUAUCGCUGAAAGAUGGCCUCGCGUCUGAUUAGCUAGUUGGUGGGGUAACGGCCCACCAAGGCGACGAUCAGUAGCCGGACUGAGAGGUUGACCGGCCACAUUGGGACUGAGAUACGGCCCAGACUCCUACGGGAGGCAGCAGUGGGGAAUAUUGGGCAAUGGACGCAAGUCUGACCCAGCAACGCCGCGUGAAGGAAGAAGGCUUUCGGGUUGUAAACUUCUUUUAACAGGGAAGAGAAGAAGACGGUACCUGUUGAAUAAGCCACGGCUAACUACGUGCCAGCAGCCGCGGUAAUA
This 520-nucleotide ribosomal RNA is filed under the name uncultured bacterium. RNAcentral's name for it is "bacterial SSU rRNA". It matches the Rfam family "Bacterial small subunit ribosomal RNA", at positions 1 to 525 of the family's 1533-position model. The record is from RNAcentral.